This 254-nucleotide ribosomal RNA is filed under the name uncultured bacterium. Its description in RNAcentral is "partial 16S ribosomal RNA". It matches the Rfam family "Bacterial small subunit ribosomal RNA", at positions 524 to 776 of the family's 1533-position model. The record is from RNAcentral.
CACGUAGGGGCCAAGCGUUGUCCGGAUUUAUUGGGCGUAAAGAGCUCGUAGGCGGUUCAGCAAGUCGGGUGUGAAAACUCUGGGCUCAACCCAGAGACGCCACCCGAUACUGCUGUGACUAGAGUCCGGUAGGGGAGUGGGGAAUUCCUGGUGUAGCGGUGAAAUGCACAGAUAUCAGGAGGAACACCGAUGGCGAAGGCAGCUCACUGGGACGGUACUGACGCUGAGGCGCGAAAGCCAGGGGAGCGAACGGG